ACUAAGUAGUUUUCUUUUUUGUUUUUUGUUUGUUUGUUAGUUUUUGUUUUUUAGAGACAGGAUCUCUUUGUGUGAUAUCCUUGGCUGUCCUGAAACUCACUUUGUAGACCAAGUUGGCCUUGAACUCACAGAGAUCUGCCUGCUUCUAUCUCCCAAGUGCUCAGAUUAAAGAAAGAAAAUAUAUCUUACCUCAGUGAAUCACAAAAGAUGUUAUCUACAUUCCACAAUAAAAAUCCCAAUAAGAAGACAGUCAAGGAUGUAUAACCUAGUCCUCUGAGCCACGGAUAAACCCUGUGGGGAAAAGAAAAGCAACAUGACAAUCUUAAAGUCUAUCAUGACCAGAGGUGAGAGCAGGAAGUCAACAUUUUUAUGAGCAACUAAAGUCCUCAGGAGACUGAGAGCAGACUGGUUUAUUCCUGUAAGUAACACUUUUGCCAAUCAUGUAUUACACACUUUAUAAAGAUGCUUUUCAAGUGUAUCCUGCUAGGUUGUUCUUCAGGCUGGUCUCAAUGUCAGGGCUCCUACACUCCUCUUGCUUUAAACUCCCAAGGAGCUGGGACUAUAGGAGUUUACCAUUGUGCCUGGAUAAUUGCUGGAUGUUUAGCUAUUUAAAGGUACUGAGAGAAAAUGGUCCAUCAAGACUGUUACAUAAGCAAGAUAAUCCAAUAUGCCUGCCCAACAACUUUACACACACACACACACACACACACACACACACACACACACACACAACCCUAAAUCACAGAAUAUACUAAGUUCUUAAUGUGUCAGGUAUAGUUCUAAGCAUUUCAGUGGGAAGCAGUCAUUAAGAAAAUGCUGCUCUCAGGAAUCACAGAAUGGUGGGGCAGGAAAUGAAAGCAGUAUUGCUUAUUUUUGAAAAAAGUAAAGGAAUUUGGAGGUGAUAAAGAGGUAUUUGGGUGGGGAAUCCCUCUGUCACUGUAAAUACACUUACAAAGCAGGUAUUCUUUCACAUCACUGUUAAGGAAGGUGAAGGGUGGUCAACAGCAGCUUAAUCACUUUUUAUAGCUUCAAUAAAGUCGACUUAUUUAUUUGGUUUUUUGAGACACAGUCUUGCUAGGUAGCCUUGGCUGGCCUGCCACUAGGCUGAUCAGGCUGACCUUGAACUUUUAACUAUCCUCCUUUUAACUCUGCAUCUAAUGUACUAGGAUUAGAAGCAUACACCACCAUACUUGCUUUAGAAAUACAUAUUUAUAAAGUACAUUUAGGGGCUACAGAGAAGGCUCAAUGUUAAGAGCACACACUGAGUUUGGUUCCCAGUACACGUAGGCAGCUCAUAACUGCCUGUGAGUCUAACAUCAGGGAUUCCACUCCCUCUUCUGGCCUCUGAAGAUACUGCCCCUACUCACACACAGACACACCCACAUAAACACAAUUAAGAAUUGAAUACAUUUUCAAAAAUGUACAUAUGAAUCCAGGCUCACACCUCUAAUCUCAGACUUGGGAGGCUGAGUCAGAAAGAUGCAGUGGUGGGAGGCCACCCUGGGCUAUGGGAGAGAGAACCUGUUUCAAGACAAAAACAGAUGAGCAGAAGGUACAUGCAACUACUACUGUGAUAAAAAAAAAUAACAUCUAAUCUCAGAAGGUAAGAGGGAAAGAGGGGAGAGGGAGAGAAAGAGGGAGCUGGAGACUGAGGAUGGAAUCACACUCCAUGCUCCCCUUCUUCUAUGGCUUCUUUCAUUUGGUAUUGAUUCGUUCAUUCUGUCAUUUAUACGACUACAUCAUUCUUUUUUUAUUACUAAUACUCCACAGCUUGGAUAUAGCACAAUUUAUUUGGCUCUCCUAAUGUUGAUAGAUUUUUGUUUCCAGUUAUUGACUCUUACAAAUAAAGCAUCUAUGAACUUUCCUAAUUGAGACAAUGUGUUGAAAAAUACUUUCAUUUCUCUUCCAUAACUAGGUGGGAAAGGAAUGGCUCAAUUGUAUGGGUGAAUGUUUAGCUUUUCAAGACACUCUUCAAGCAUUAUCCCCCUUUCUCCCUUUCUUAUCUCUCACCCUUCCGUUCUCUUUCUCGGUUAUGGAAUGAAACUAGGGACUUUAACAUGUUAGACAAAUUUGCUACCACUGGGCAAUCCCUUAGACACUGGGGGUAAGCGGUGGUACUAACUUACAUUUCUACCAGCCAUGUACAAGUGAUUCCAGUUGUUCUGAAUCUAUGCACACUGGGUGUGUCAGUCCCUUUCAUUUCAGUUACAGCUCUAGUACUACAAUGGUAUCUCAUUGUGUUUUUUAUGUACUUUCCCCCCAAAUUAGUCAGGGGCAUUGUUUGUGUAAUUAUCUGCUAUCCAUAUAUCUUCCUCAAUAUGGCAUUUAUUGUUUGAGUGGUAAUAAUUCUUUAUAAAUUCUGGUGAAUCCUCUGUUGCAUAUAUAUUUUGGAGAUAUUCUCUCCAAGUCUGUGAUUUGCACUUUGUUUUCUGAACAUGGUCUCUAGGAACCAAUUUUGUACUUUUUUUCAAGCCCAGUUCUUGCUGUGAUUGCCUAGGAUGGCCUUGAGCUAUAGGUCAAGCUAUUCUCCUGCUUGGGUUCUUGUUCAUGCCACCUAGUCUCACAAAAGUUUAUUAAUUUUAAUUAACUUCAAACUCAAAUUUAUCAUUUUUCUUUAUUGUUUGUGUCCUAAUAAAUCUUUGCCUAAUUAAAGUUUGUAAAGACUUCUACUAGAAUUUAAUAAUUUUAGCUUUAACAUUUACAGAUAUAACUCACUUCUGUUAUAUUUUUAUUAUGGACUGACAACACAGGGUACAUAGGCAUAUACGCUUCCAUAGCAGGCAUAUAACAAUAUGUGGUUGAAGGCUAUCUUCACUUACAGGAUUAGGCAUGGUGGCCCACACCUGCGACCCCUGUACCUAGGAGGUUAAGGCAGAAGGUUCAUAAAUUUGUGAUCAGUUUGGGCUACACACCAAGAGGCAUUAUGCUUCAAAAGAACUAGUAUGACUAGUUUUCUAUUAAGUUACCUCCACACAUUUUUAUGGAGGAUCGGGCCAGUAUGGUAUGCUAGUCUAAUUUAGAUAUUCUCUACUCUAUGCUUACCAGCUAUAGUACAACACCGCCUUGCCUGGCACAGUAGAAUAAGUCAAGCUCUUAAGUGCUCCCCAACCCUCUCUUUUUGGUGCUGAACAAAGGGCCUUGUUCACGGUCAGCACAUACACUACCACACUUCUGGCCCGGUCCUCUAAGGCUGCUGCUCUCUUUAAAAACCAUUCCAUCUAUUCUUGGUCUUUUGUGUCCUAUGUGAACGUUGGAAUCGAGUUCUCCACUCUUUUAAAAGGAUUCUUUUAUGUUAUGCUUAUGAGUGUCUUGCCUACAUGUAUGCCCAUGCACCAUGUAUGUUCCUGGUGCUAGCAGAGUCCAGAAAAAGACAUUGGAUCCUCUGGGACUGGAGUUACAGGGAAUUGUGAGUCGAUAUGUGAGUGAUAGACUUAAACCUGAGUCCUCUGGAAGAGCAGCAAAAGUUUUUAACCUCUGCGUCUGGCCCGGUUUGUUUGUUUUGAGACAAAGUCUCAUAAUGCAGUCCAAGCUGGUCUAGAAUUCUCUUUAUACUUUCUUUUUAUUGUUUUGUUUUGUUUUUCAAGAUAGGACCUAGAACGUGCUCUGUAGACCAAACUGUCUUUGUACUCACAGAGAUCCACCUGCCUCUGCCUCCCAAGUACUGGGAGCCCCUAGAACUCUCUUUGUGGACCAGACUGGCCUGCUCCCCCAGUGACGAAAGGUACGCACCACUAUGCCCAGCAAAUUUCACAUUUUUUACCAAAAGCCUGAAAAACUUUUGAUUGUGAUUAUACUUAACCUGCAGAUAAAGUUAGGAAAAACUGACACCUUAAUGACACUGACUUUUCUAACCAGUAAGGGAGUAUAUUUCUCAAUUUAUUUAGUUCCUUUAGUCUCAGCAAAAAACUGUGGUUUCAAUGCAUAAUCUGGCACAUGUUAGAACACUGUCCAAGUAUGGAAUCAGGUGAAAAGAAUUCUGAGUACUUGUGAGAAAACUUCAAGAAAACAAGACAAGAGUCUUGUGACCUCAGUUUCUUCAAGAACACACUGUUCUUGGAAUGUUUCAGAGGCCCUCCCAAGUGUAGUAGAUGGAGUGAGUUUACUUGGAUCACUCAUUACAACUGGCUGUUGUUGUUUAUGUGUUUAUGUUGUCAUGCUCAGCUUGUCCUGUGAUUGUACACUAUACUAUGUGACUCUUCUUAACCGUCAGAGUAUAAAUUGCCUGGUUCUCUGAAUAAAGUUGGCUAGUGCAUGAGACUUUAGCCUCAUUUAUCAGCUCCAUCCUCCCCGGUCCCACCAUCUCUAGCACAGUAAACAGGCACACAUUUGUUAUUUCUACCCUAAACAUUUCAUGAUGUUACAAAUUGUACAUUAAAAAUUUUCACUUUCCAUUCAUUCCCAUUAAUAUAUAGAGGUGAUUUCCCACCCACUUCACACUAGAAAGAUGGCUCAGUGGUUAAGAGUACCUGGUGCUGGGUUGGGGAUUUAGCUCAGUGGUAGAACGCUUGCCUAGCAAGCGCAAGGCCCUGAGUUCAGUCCCCAGCUCCAAAAAAAAAAGAAAAAAAAAAAAAAGAGUACCUGGUGCUCUUCCAGAUGACUGGAGCUUGAUUCCCAGGACUCAUAUCCAGUGGCUAACUUCUGCUCUAACUCCAAGGGAAUAUAAUACCUUCUAUGUCACCCAAGGGCACCUUCACUAAUAUGCACAUACAUACGUGUACACAUUGAUAAAGUAAAUCUUUAAAAAAAUGAAUGUUCUUUGGAAUCCUGACUAGACACCUAUAACACCUAAAAUUGAUAAAUUACACUCAGUCUUUUGGGUACAUGUUUUUUUUUUUUUUUUUGGAUAUAUUCUUGUGUUAUCUUCAAACACCACGUUAGACAGGACUUCCAUCAGCAUAGUUCUCAGUAAAAUGGCAACAAUAAAAUCAUCUUAUUUUAUUCUAGAUACUACAAAAAUUUGAAAAAACACACAUCUUAGGUGUUUUAUAUGCUACAGAAUCUAUAGCCUAAGAAAAUUCCUCUUACUACUAAUUAGAAAGAUCUUUUGUUUUUAGAUUGUGAACAAGUGUUGACUUUUAUAGGCUACUUUCUGUAAAUCUACAGAUAUAUAGUUUUUAAUCUUCUAUUUUUUAAAAAAUUGUAAAGAGUAAUACCAGAUUUUCAAAAGAUUUGUUUUACUGUAAAUAUCUGCAUGUAAAUGUGAUUUAUUUUUAUGUAUUUAUCUAUGUUUUGGGUUUUUUGAGGCAAAGGCAGCCAUGUAGCUAAGGGUAGCCCUGGAACUCAGAGUGGAUGACGAUCUUGAAUUCCAGAUCCCCCUGUCUCUGCCUACCAAGGGCUGCAAUUACAGGUAUGCACUACCAUCCCUGACUUGAUGUGGUUUUCUAAACUUACCACAGCACAUCUUCAGCUCUCAGGAGAAGUACAAAGCAAAACUCUUCAGUGGAGUGAAAUGAAUGUCAUUGGUUAUCCAGGUAGCGGGGGGCGAAGGAGAGAGCAAGAACUUUGUCAGCACACGGUCCAUUCAUGCUCAGUACAGACAAGAUUCUGGAGAUACACUACCAGCAUGGGGAAUGGGAAUAAAAUGCAGAGUUCUCAGAAUGUCUGUGUCUGAUGUGGUCAGCCUUCACUCUACACUGGCUGCCUUCAUGGUAUAAAGCUCUCAUCUCAGAAGUCCUCUCUCUUCUUCCCUAGGGAAUGCUUCCACCUCUCUUCCUGGGUCAGUCC
Rattus norvegicus (Norway rat) is the source of this 5724-nucleotide non-coding RNA. The record is from RefSeq and is a predicted model, not a curated record. NCBI's taxonomy places the organism in Eukaryota, Metazoa, Chordata, Mammalia, Rodentia, Muridae.